RNAcentral lists this long non-coding RNA (1298 nucleotides) under Homo sapiens (human). RNAcentral describes it as "non-protein coding lnc-AP3S1-2:2". The record is from RNAcentral. Lineage: Eukaryota; Metazoa; Chordata; Mammalia; Primates; Hominidae.
CAACUGCACGGCUACUUCUCCAUUUAGCCACUAUCCCAGAGAAUUCUGCCACCUUCCAGAGCCAACUGUUUUCCCCUUUCUCUGCGUUUGAUAGAAAAGAAAGAUAAGAAAUAAAUAGGGCUUAAUUUCCCAAACCAUUUAUGUAGUUUUUCCUCCUUUUCAGGACAGAGAAUAAAGGGUCCCUGUAUUCAUGCCUUCCUGGAAAUCUCAGUGCAAGGCCCUAUCAGGAGGUUUCCUGGAGCAGCUAAGGGAACAGCUAGACCACCCAGGAAGAAAUGACAGAAGCCUACCUGACUUCCAAUCUGCUUGCUUCAUGGUGUAAUGGGGGCCUAGACAGAAGCACCCCAAGGACACUUACAACAACUGUUCUGCCAGCUCUAGUCCAUUGGAGAAGAUGUGCCAACAUACCUUCUCACCAUCCCUAGAGCCCAACCUUGCUAUGGAAAGGUCAAACCCUUACCAUUGGCCCUGCCAAGGAUCCCCAGACAGAGAAGCACAAUGGAGGCCAUAAAUUAUGGCUUCUUAUCAUGGCCUCCACAUAACUUAAACUCUGGAUGGUGAAUGAAAUCUGGGGCCAAGUCUUAAAGGGUCAGGGUAGCCAAUGAGCAUAACUCAAUAUUUGUGUUUCUAAGAGAAAACCACAGAACCUCCAUAUCCAUGGCAAACUGGCCAGCCACAGGCUGGAUCCAGUGUGCAGUAGUGUUUUGUGUACACCAUUCACUAUUUGUCUACUUGGGUUAAAAAUGUUUUAUAUUAGUUAGCAAUGUUUAAACAUUGGGAGAAUUAAAGGGAAAUGAAAACGUACUUCCCACAAAUACUUGCACAUAAAUAUUCACAGCAGCAUUGUUUAUAAUUGCCCAAAACUAGAAACAACCCAAAUAUCCAUCAACUGAUGAAUGAUAAACAAGUUGUGGUAUAUUCAUCCAAUAAAACAAUAUUCAGCAAUAAAAAUAAACAAAUCAGGCACUUAAUAUAAUUGAAUAUCAAGGUCAUUAUGUUGAGUGAAAGAGGCCAGAAAAUAAAAGUAUACACUAUUUGAUUCCAUUUAUAUAAUAUUCUAGAAAAUGAAAACCAGUCUAUACUUACAGAAAACAAGGUGGUAGCUUACAGAGAUGGGGUAGAGGGAGGGAGAGAUGACAGAGAGGCAUAAAAAAACUUUCCGGACAAUGAAAAUGUUCUGUAUUUUAAUUGUGGUGAUGGUUUCAUGGAUGUACAAGUUCAUCAAAUCUCAUCAAGUUAAAUAUAUGCAUUUAUUUUAUAUUAAGUGUACCUCAAUAAAGCAGAAAAAUUUAAAAUUG